GAAAUGGCAUCUGAUAUGGAGCUACUUUUAUUUCUAUUCUACACAGAGAAUGUGCAUAAUAAAGACUAAAGGUUCCUCAAGGAACCCAAAGAAGCUGUCUAGUACCUCCUACGAGGCAGAAGCAGUAAGGACAUUCCUGAGGAGUCACCUGCAACCACAGGAUGGGUCAGCCUGGUGCUUUCUGCUCCGCAGACCCUGGAGCCUCAUCCGGGCAUUUUCCAGCCUGCUUUCAAGUCUUUGGAAGAGUUCCGCAUAGCUGUGUAUGCUAGUUGACACAUCUCGCAAUGGACUGAACACAUUUUGGAGACACAAAUUACUUUUCAGAUAUUUGUGAGCAAAGAUUUAGAAGUCAUG
Sciurus carolinensis (gray squirrel) is the source of this 354-nucleotide long non-coding RNA. RefSeq lists it as uncharacterized. The record is from RefSeq and is a predicted model, not a curated record. NCBI's taxonomy places the organism in Eukaryota, Metazoa, Chordata, Mammalia, Rodentia, Sciuridae. The transcript is spliced from 3 exons.